UUAAGAGUCUUUCUGCCAGCCAAAUAGUUGUUGCUGAGGACUUGAUAUAUAAGGAUGCCAAAAGCUAGGAUGCUCCCAGAAUAGAAUUAUGUUUUAGGAUUCAGCAUAGUUAAAGUGGAACAUUAAGGUGAAAAAGCAAAAAGUUGAGCAUACUUACAGUGGAGUGCAACAACACACUGCAAAGAAAAAUAGGAAGAAUUCCAGAAAUGUGGCCCUGGUAUGUGAAAGCCCCAGGAAGUAAAUGACCUGAGCACAUGCACCAACUUACUGCCUGGUUUUGGACUUGGCAGUGUGGAGGAGAAAAGAUGGAAAGAAGUAAAAAAAAACAACUCAGGCAGCUAUAACCGACUCCAUAGUGGAGGCUGGUGAUGAGAACCUGCCGACAGCAAAGCGUUUGAAGACAUCUAUUGAAACGGAGAGGAGGAGGCUAACAGAGAAGUAAAAGGAAGUUUGAGGUGUGAAAAUUUGCAUGUCUGUGUAUUUAUACAGAUGAUAUUAGUGAGAUCUAAAAAGAAAGAGCGGAAGCUGGAAAUUCCUGCACACUGUUCAGAAUAUCGCACAUUCCCAAACAUCAUUCUGUGUGUGAGGUUUUGACACCUUUAGCAUCUCCAGCAGGCAAGCAAUGUGCCAUAAGUAUUGGAAACUGCUAAAGAUCUUGUCAACUGACUAAGAGAAAAUGACAGCUGUUUUUUUUUUUAUUAAACAUUAUGUAAAACACUAACACAUAGGCCUGCCAUGUUAAAUCCUCCCUCGGGGUACUUGGCCUCACAUGUGUAAGCCUAAAGCAGCUUUUGCUGGAAGCAAAUGAAGCUGCAAAUCUAUCCUGCAACUACGUCUGAAAGCUAAAAUACUAAUGAGGCUCUAGCAGAUGCUGAAAAGUGCUACAGCAAUCAUCUGGCUGCUUGGCCCCUCUUCCAUUCAGGAUAUGUUUUGGAUGUUAUGAAUUUAUGCAAUUGUGAAAAGGUGUCAGGAAAAGCUCAGGGGACUUGCCUGCAGCAGGGCAAAUUUUCUGAAGAAAGAGUCCUGAUGCACUGGUGAUACAGCAAGAGGGGUGGUAUUGGGAUGCCUCCAAUCACUCACAGGUUUGGAGCUAGCAGAGAGGGAAGAGGAAAAGGGGUAGUGAUCUCAGGCACUCAGGUAGUGAAAAUGGCACUAGGAGACCCACUGCAGUAGAGAAGAAGAAGGUAGGAGGAAUACCAUAGCUCAUUCUUUAGAGUAGAAGGACAAUACAGAGAGGUUAAAGUCAGACAUGAAGGGAAGGAACAGCAACAAAGUUUCCCACACAUUCACAGAGAAACUGUGAUCCCAGUCACCUAUAGAGGUGUUGGGGGAAAGGGCACAGGCCCCUUCUGGGAAACACCCAUGAAUGGUCAGGACAACCUGCCCCAGACAACUUACCAGAAGUCUGCAGGAUCUCCAGGCAUUCCUUUGAUAAGAAAGGGGAAGUCUUACCCCUAUUCCUUAUUUGCCACAACAGUGUUUAUGCAGGGCCACAAACAGCAGCAACAGAGGUAGAAGAAAAUCUCACUCUCCCCCUUUAAAAUCCCCAUCUUAAGCCAUAACAGUAAUAGUAACAUGUAUUUUUCAUCAACAGCUCUCAAAAUAUUUUAUGGAAGGAAAAUAACCACUUAUUCUCAGUUCACAGAACCAGGCAUGAAUUAGUAACAGACUUUCCUAAAGCCAGAGAAGAAAUGAGGGAACUGCAGAAGGGCUGUGUUUGGGAACUACCAGGUCUCCUUCCUCUUCAAACAGGGAAGAGGCUAGGACUCAAGAAAAGACCCCCUCUACUUCCACUUGUUUUCAUGCCAGUUUGCAUAUCAGAAAUGACCAAAUGUGGCAAAAGCAAAGCCAAACUAAAUACAUAUUGGGUUUGAUAUCAAGGAUACAACUUUUGCAGAGGACUUAUACUACCGCUUUGCUGAGAAAAUAUUUGAAUGGAGUGGAACCAAUUGGCAAUUGUCAUGUGUUAUUUGCAAGUGAAUACACCAGAUCUUUUACUGCACUGAGAAAACAAAUAAUCAGACCCCCAAAUUCAUGUACUUUCCCUUUAGAAAAAGCCACAUUGUGUUGUUACAUCAGCAAUUGAAAUAUGACAGGGUGCUUGUGUUUAUACUCAGAGAAGUCAUAUACAGAUUCCAUCUGUUCAACAUUUGGAGCAAAUUUGCAGUGAUUACUCAGGCUGAAAAUUGCUUUGGAGCUUUGUCUGCUGUUGCUUCAUUUGAAAUAAAUCACCGAUGCGGUGCCUCACUUCUGAACACAGACAUGCAAGUCAAAAUGAGAAGACAGCAGCAGAACUUUGGCUAUUCUGACUUGCAAGACAUUCAGGUGUUGUUGACAGUUGCAGGGUGGUUUUCACAUAGGCUUUGGAGAAACCCAAGAAGAGCUGAAGCUGCUGCUGAAUUAAUUUUCUGGAGCUUUGUCUUUGCAAACUAAGACUCAUUCCUCUUUGGACAAAGUCCAUCCCAUGCCAUGGGCUCUGAGACAGAGCCAU
Molecule: long non-coding RNA, 2491 nt
Organism: Pezoporus occidentalis (night parrot)
Lineage: Eukaryota; Metazoa; Chordata; Aves; Psittaciformes; Psittacidae
Exons: 4
Source: RefSeq, a predicted model, not a curated record